UUUUCAAGGCCGCAAAAAUAAUUGUUAAAAAAAAUAAUCACCUGUCAUUCAUUGUCCUCAUCGACCCCCACCUUACCGUUCCCGGGUCGUAUAAAUACGAGCGCUAUCUGGACCACAGGCAUCAUACUGCCUCCAGCAGCUCUUGCAAGUGCUAGCUCUGACCAGUGGAAGAGAACCGCCAACCGCCGAGAUGAACAAGUUCUUCGUGCUGUUCCUCGUGAGCAUGGCCGUGUUGGCCGCGGCCUUCGCCACACCCUACCCCCGCCCCCUGCCCCUGGCCUUCCCCUCGCCCGCCGACGCGCCCAAGGAGACGCUGAAGGGCUCCGAGGCCGUGUACUACGGCUACGGCGCAGUGCCCUACGCCGCCUCGCCCUACUACGGCGGCUACGCCUACCCCUACUACGGCUGAGCGGACCCGCGCCACCAGCAGCCCUGAAGACGUGACCCCUCGCUGACCCCGACCGGACCCCGCCUGUGUUCUCUCCUCUCGCGCCGAGUCGUGCCUUUCCGUCUGCAAUAAACCUCUUGUUUCUAUAACUGCAAA
Bacillus rossius redtenbacheri is the source of this 544-nucleotide long non-coding RNA. RefSeq lists it as uncharacterized. Lineage: Eukaryota; Metazoa; Arthropoda; Insecta; Phasmatodea; Bacillidae. The record is from RefSeq and is a predicted model, not a curated record. The transcript has 2 exons.